RNAcentral lists this ribosomal RNA (497 nucleotides) under uncultured bacterium. RNAcentral's name for it is "partial 16S ribosomal RNA". It matches the Rfam family "Bacterial small subunit ribosomal RNA", at positions 28 to 507 of the family's 1533-position model. The record is from RNAcentral.
GAUGAACGCUGGCGGCGUGCCUAAUACAUGCAAGUCGAGCGGACGGACGAGAAGCUUGUUCUUUUGAUGUUAGCGGCGGACGGGUGAGUAACACGUGGAUAACCUACCUCUAUGACUGGGAUAACUUCGGGAAACCGGCGAUAAUACCGGAUAAUAUUUUGAACCGCAUGGUUCAAAAGUGAAUGACGGCCUUGCUGUCACUUAUAGAUGCAUCCGCGCUGCAUUAGCUGGUUGGUAAGGUAACGGCUUACCAAGGCGACGAUGCGUAGCCGACCUGAGAGGGUGAUCGGCCACACUGGAACUGAGACACGGUCCAGACUCCUACGGGAGGCAGCAGUAGGGAAUCUUCCGCAAUGGGCGAAAGCCUGACGGAGCAACGCCGCGUGAGUGAUGAAGGUCUUCGGAUCGUAAAGCCCUGUUAUUGGGGAAGAACAGAUGUGGAAUUAACUGUGGACAUCUUGACGGUACCGAAUCAAAAAGCAACGGCUAACUACGUG